AGAACUAUUAAAUUGAAGUUAGGAAUGAUAGAGUAACGCCUUGAAACUAACUCGCUAAGACUCCGACAUGCAAUAAAAGAAGUAAUUCUAAUUGUGUGAAGCUCGGUAAAGUCGGGGAAAAUGAACCUAAACUGAAAAUUAUUAAGUAAUGUUGGUACAAAAGAGGCUAGGGCCCACCUGCAAGAAAAAUAAUUAGUAUAGCAUGGUUUGUGAUACCUCGGGCGUCUAUAA
This 231-nucleotide non-coding RNA is filed under the name pig gut metagenome. The record is from RNAcentral.